Molecule: transfer RNA, 73 nt
Filed under: Mus musculus (house mouse)
Lineage: Eukaryota; Metazoa; Chordata; Mammalia; Rodentia; Muridae
Description: tRNA-Asn
Source: RNAcentral
GGAGAGAUGGCUCAGUGGUUAAGAGCACUGACUGUUCUUCCAGAGGUCCUGAGUUCAAAUCCCAGCAACCACA